RNAcentral lists this unclassified non-coding RNA (520 nucleotides) under uncultured Archaeospora. Its description in RNAcentral is "bacterial SSU rRNA". It matches the Rfam family "Eukaryotic small subunit ribosomal RNA", at positions 569 to 1094 of the family's 1831-position model. The record is from RNAcentral. Lineage: Eukaryota; Fungi; Glomeromycota; Glomeromycetes; Archaeosporales; Archaeosporaceae.
AGCAGCCGUGGUAAUUCCAGCUCCAAUAGCAUAUAUUAAAGUUGUUGCAGUUAAAAAGCUCGUAGUUGAAUUUUGGGUUUGGCCAAUUGGUCCGUUCUUGUAGCGAGUACUGGUCGGUUGUGCCUCACCACUUGGGGAAGCGUAAUGUCCUUUAUUGGGUGUUGCAAAUAUCCAAGACCUUUACCUUGAAAACAUUAAAGUGUUUAAAGCAGGCAUAUGCCAGAAUACAUUAGCAUGGAAUAAUAGAAUAGGAUAAUAAUUCUAUUUUGUUGGUUUCUAGGACCGUUGUAAUGAUUAAUAGGGAUAGUUGGGGGCAUUAGUAUUCAAUUGCCAGAGGUGAAAUUCUUGGAUUUAUUGAAGACUAACUACUGCGAAAGCAUUUGCCAAGGAUGUUUUCAUUAAUCAAGAAUGAAAGUUAGGGAAUUGAAGAUGAUCAGAUACCAUUGUAGUCUUAACCAUAAAUUAUGCCGACUAGAGAUCAGGUAAUAUUGUUUCAAUGAUUCGCUUGGCACCUUAUGGG